Molecule: ribosomal RNA, 564 nt
Filed under: uncultured fungus
Lineage: Eukaryota; Fungi
Description: eukaryotic LSU rRNA
Rfam family: 5.8S ribosomal RNA (bases 213-366)
Source: RNAcentral
AAGUCGUAACAAGGUCUCCGUUGGUGAACCAGCGGAGGGAUCAUUACAGAGUUCUAAAAGACUCCCAAAACCAUUGUGAACGUACCCGUCAGCGUUGCCUCGGCGGGCGGCCCCUCCCUGGGGCCGCUGCCUCCCUCGGGGGGUGCCCGCCGGCGUACCAAAACUCUUUUGUAUUUUAGUGGCCUCUCUGAGAAAACAAGCAAAUAAGUUAAAACUUUCAACAACGGAUCUCUUGGUUCUGGCAUCGAUGAAGAACGCAGCGAAAUGCGAUAAGUAAUGUGAAUUGCAGAAUUCAGUGAAUCAUCGAAUCUUUGAACGCACAUUGCGCUCGCCAGUAUUCUGGCGAGCAUGCCUGUCCGAGCGUCAUUUCAACCAUCAAGCUCUGCUUGCGUUGGGGAUCCGCGGCUGCCCGCGGUCCCUCAAAAACAGUGGCGGGCUCGCUAGUCACACCGAGCGUAGUAGUAAAAUAUCUCGCUAGGGAGGUGUCGCGGGUUCGGCCGUGAAAGCCCAUCUUUUACACAAGGUUGACCUCGGGAUCAGGUAGGGAAUACCCGCUGAACUUAA